ACGAACGCUGGCGGCGUGCUUAACACAUGCAAGUCGAACGGAAAGGCCCUGCUUUUGUGGGGUGCUCGAGUGGCGAACGGGUGAGUAACACGUGAGUAACCUGCCCUUGUCUUUGGGAUAACUUCAGGAAACUGGGGCUAAUACCGGAUAGGAGCUCCUGCUGCAUGGUGGGGGUUGGAAAGUUUCGGCGGUUGGGGAUGGACUCGCGGCUUAUCAGCUUGUUGGUGGGGUAGUGGCUUACCAAGGCUUUGACGGGUAGCCGGCCUGAGAGGGUGACCGGCCACAUUGGGACUGAGAUACGGCCCAGACUCCUACGGGAGGCAGCAGUGGGGAAUAUUGCACAAUGGGCGGAAGCCUGAUGCAGCAACGCCGCGUGCGGGAUGACGGCCUUCGGGUUGUAAACCGCUUUCGCCUGUGACGAAGCGUGAGUGACGGUAACGGGUAAAGAAGCACCGGCUAACUACGUG
This 467-nucleotide ribosomal RNA is filed under the name uncultured bacterium. RNAcentral's name for it is "partial 16S ribosomal RNA". It matches the Rfam family "Bacterial small subunit ribosomal RNA", at positions 29 to 507 of the family's 1533-position model. The record is from RNAcentral.